UACCGUAAUACAUAAAAUCUAAGUAAUCCAUCAAUUCCUUAACAAAUUCACAGUGAUUAAUUAAACUAAUUACCUCACUGUGAAUCGAGUUCCGAAGCUGCAAAAACAACCGAGCAUCCUCCCUUAGCCAAGUUUGUUGUGUAUCAUCAGUAGGUGGAUCUUUAGUAAGGUGAUCAUCCUUAUCAAUGCUACGCAAAUAGACCCUAACAGUCUUACUCCACUCCAGGUAAUUCGAACCAUUAAGUUUGUGUUCUGUGAUCUUAGUCAUCAUCGGAAUCACAUCAGAAAUAACAUUCUUAUUGUCUGCCAUUUGUUGAGACAAAGAAAACUAACCGAAACGCUAAUCCAAAGUGCUGACAGCAACAAAAUAAUCCAAAAUCACAAAUCAAGUAAAUACCGAAAUAGGAUCUGAGAGCCAAACCUCAGAAGUCCUUUAAUGGUGUACUGGAUCAGGCAACAGCACACAGUGGUGGAAUGAGGGGAUUGAGGCGACGCUGGCAAUGUUGAAUCGGAGUCGAAACGGCCGGUCGGCGGCCAAGGUCUCUCCUGAGCAGGGUGGUGAGAACAAAUAGUCACCCUAGAUGGCCUGCUCUGAUACCAUGUAGAAAGAGAUGAUUCUCAUUGAUUUCAAUUAAUCUGUACAUGGGUAUUUAUAUACAAUUGAUUCCUAUAAUUGUGUUAUACUAAUUAGGAAGAAAUCCUAAAUAAGAAAUCCUAAAUAGGAAUACAGAAUACAAAAUAUACACAGAAAUAAUAUAAUGAUUGACUUUCCAUAACAAGCUUCUAAGGGAUGUGAUUCAUCGAGGUUUGGCACCUGACAUUGUCAGCUACAACAGCCUGAUUAGUGGUUUAUGCAAGAUGGAAGGAAUUUGGGAGGCUAUCAGUCUCUUUGACAAAUUUGCAGGUUGCAGGAAUACAAUCUGAUGCUAUUACUUAUAACCUGGUGAUUUGUUGGCAUUGCAGAGAGGGAAUGUUUGAUUUUGCCUGUUUACUCCUCCAUCAAGGUGUCAAGAAUGACUUUGUAUCUAAUGAUGUGACAUGGUAUAUUUCGUUCAGCAAUUGUUUAGAAGAUAUUGGCAAGAAGAGUUAUCCUAUUCUCUGUUUUGAGUCACUGGAAAGAAGCUUCUGAUCUUGGAAGAUGAAAUAUGUUAAGCAUUGUGAAGUGAUCCCUUCCAGCUGAAUCCAGAUGCAAAAUAUUUUUCAUUGCAUUUUCACACUAUAUGAGCUGCCUGAUCCAUCUACAUGUUCAUACUUAAUGAAGGGGUGCCACUCUAAAAGCUAUGCGGAUGAAGUUGAACAUAUCUGAAGUUAAUCCUUGUUUGUGGAUUAAAUGAAUGUGUAUAUCAAAAGGGCCUCUCUGGAAAAUGGAUUACCGUUGGUUCAAUAUUCACGCAAGUGAGCCAAGUCAAAUCAAUACAAUGUACUACUCUUAACUCGAGUUGAUUAGAUAACUUGAGUUUGAUCUCAUCCUAUUUUUUAGUACUUGUAGUCAAUUCAAUGGAAUACCCAAAAUACUCAAACUUAGCUUGAUUACUAUUAAUGAUUUAGGUUAUUUGUUUAUUGAUCUUGAA
Long non-coding RNA from Hevea brasiliensis (rubber tree), 1571 nucleotides. RefSeq lists it as uncharacterized. NCBI's taxonomy places the organism in Eukaryota, Viridiplantae, Streptophyta, Magnoliopsida, Malpighiales, Euphorbiaceae. The record is from RefSeq and is a predicted model, not a curated record. The transcript is spliced from 2 exons.